This 394-nucleotide ribosomal RNA is filed under the name Platyzosteria sp. W03. RNAcentral describes it as "partial large subunit ribosomal RNA". Lineage: Eukaryota; Metazoa; Arthropoda; Insecta; Blattodea; Blattidae. The record is from RNAcentral.
CUCUUCUUGAUUUAUAAUUUGAGGUAUAACCUGCCCACUGAUUAUUUAAAGGGCCGCGGUAUUUUGACCGUGCAAAGGUAGCAUAAUCAUUAGUCUUUUAAUUGGAGACUUGAAUGAAUGGUUGGACGAGGAAUAAACUGUUUCUUAUAAAUUUAUUUGAAUUUAUAUUUUAAGUUAAAAUGCUUAAAUUAAUUUAUGGGACGAGAAGACCCUAUAGAGUUUAAUAUAUUAUAUAAUUUGUAUUAGUUAAUAUAUUAUUAUAAUUUUAUAAUUUAUUUUGUUGGGGUGAUAGAGAGAUUUAAUAAACUCUUUUUAAUUUAAUAUAUUUAUAUAUAAUUUUUUGAUCCAUUUUUGUUGAUUAUAAGACUAAAUUACCUUAGGGAUAACAGCGUAA